RNAcentral lists this ribosomal RNA (252 nucleotides) under uncultured bacterium. RNAcentral describes it as "partial 16S ribosomal RNA". It matches the Rfam family "Bacterial small subunit ribosomal RNA", at positions 524 to 776 of the family's 1533-position model. The record is from RNAcentral.
UACGGAGGAUGCGAGCGUUAUCCGGAUUUAUUGGGUUUAAAGGGUGCGUAGGCGGAUCGUUAAGACAGUGGUCAAAUUGAGGGGCUCAACCCCUUCCCGCCAUUGAAACUGGCGCUCUUGAGUGGAAGAGAAGUAUGCGGAAUGCGUGGUGUAGCGGUGAAAUGCGUAGAUAUUAGGAGGAACACCAGUGGCGAAGGCGGCCUGCUGGACGACAACUGACGGUGAGGCGCGAAAGCGUGGGGAGCAAACAGG